AAGAGUGAGAGAGAGAAAGAAAGAAAGAAAGAAAGGAGUGUGAGGGACUCUCUAUAAAAGAUUUACACGCCCUUGAUCUUAUUUGAUCGAGUCGGCCCGGCCCUGCCCUGCCCUGCCCUGUCCGGCUCAGGCCCGGCUCCAGGCCCAGGCUCCAGGCCCAGGCCUCCCGACUCGAAGUGAUGAUAACCCCGAGCUCCCGAGCUGCCCCUCCGGCAGCCAUGAGUAUCGGGAGGGAACCCGUCACCGCUCCCCGCCGGGCGGGUGGGGGGGGGCGGGCGGGUCGGUUGGUUGGUUGGUUGGUGGGUUCAGGGCCUCUCCGGGGGCCGCGGUGUCCGCAGAUAUGAUGAACCGAUCAGAUAGACUAUGGCCGACCUCAGCCGCCGGUCACUGAGUACUGAGGCGAUUCUGAUCUGA
Molecule: non-coding RNA, 414 nt
Organism: Callorhinchus milii (elephant shark)
Lineage: Eukaryota; Metazoa; Chordata; Chondrichthyes; Chimaeriformes; Callorhinchidae
Product: small Cajal body-specific RNA 2
Exons: 1
Source: RefSeq, a predicted model, not a curated record